UUAAGCCAUGCAUGUCUAAGUACAUGCCGAAAUAAGGCGAAACCGCGAAUGGCUCAUUAAAUCAGUUAUGGUUCCUUAGAUCGUUUCUUCCUACUUGGAUAACUGUGGCAAUUCUAGAGCUAAUACAUGCAGUGAGCCUGGAGCCCUUUGGGUAACGGGUGCUUUUAUUAGACCAAGAUCGAUCGGGUUUCGGCCCGUAUUGUGUGGUGACUCUGGAUAACUUUGUGCUGAUCGCAUUACCGCGAACCGGCGCCGUAUACCUCGCCUCGCCUGCAAGAACCGGCCGGCAGCCUCCGGCUCUCCCAAGAGCGCGGUGGCAUUUGCCGCGGAGGGCGGGAUUUCUGGGCCGCUGUGCGGCCGAGCCAUCGCAUCGCCAAGUUCCAUGACCGACCGCCGACGCGUUCGCCGUUCCUCUCGUACUUGGCGGCGUCGCGCAAUUGUCGGGCCUCGUUCUUGCGCGCUCGAACGGACGGGAGGGCACUCGGCCGCGGUUCCCUUUCGGCAACGCGCGGCUUCGCCUUCGACCGACGUGACCGACCGUUCGCGCUCCGCCUUUCCUCCCGUACUUGGCGGUCCCGCAACGGCCGGACAGGGACGUCCGAGCGCUUCGAGCCACGGUGCAGUGGCGGGUCGAAAGCCGACCCAGAUGUGCGUUACGCCGUUUAUACCCGCUUUCGCCACCUGGCCGACCGUCCAAGGUCGCGGUGUUGGCGUCCGCUGGGCGCAACAAUUUGUCACGGGGUGCCGCUCCACAUUCAGGCAGCCCCGUGGGGAAAAGCCACCCCCGCAUACAAACGGGGGCGGCGGCAGAAAGUGUCGGGCGCAGACGCAACUGCGGCGCUCACCCUUCACG
Molecule: ribosomal RNA, 853 nt
Filed under: Rhipicephalus sanguineus (brown dog tick)
Lineage: Eukaryota; Metazoa; Arthropoda; Arachnida; Ixodida; Ixodidae
Description: partial 18S ribosomal RNA
Rfam family: Eukaryotic small subunit ribosomal RNA (bases 64-262)
Source: RNAcentral